Molecule: small nucleolar RNA, 96 nt
Organism: Malus domestica (apple)
Lineage: Eukaryota; Viridiplantae; Streptophyta; Magnoliopsida; Rosales; Rosaceae
Product: small nucleolar RNA snoR109
Source: RefSeq, a predicted model, not a curated record
CCGCUGUAGCCCAAUCGAAUAGUUGAGAAGUUUACUGCCCGGCUGUUGUGAGAUUUCUCUCUGUCGACUGAUCUGCUUACCGAGCUUCUCACAUUU